GCAGACCUACGGGGGGCAGCAGUGAGGAAUAUUGGUCAAUGGGAGAGAUCCUGAACCAGCCAAGCCGCGUGAGGGAAGACGGCCCUAUGGGUUGUAAACCUCUUUUGUCGGAGAACAAAACCCGGGACGUGUCCCGGACUGCGUGUAUCCGAAGAAAAAGCAUCGGCUAACUCCGUGCCAGCAGCCGCGGUAAUACGGAGGAUGCGAGCGUUAUCCGGAUUCAUUGGGUUUAAAGGGUGCGCAGGCGGGCCUUUAAGCCGGCGGUGAAAUCCCGGGG
This 277-nucleotide ribosomal RNA is filed under the name uncultured bacterium. RNAcentral's name for it is "partial 16S ribosomal RNA". It matches the Rfam family "Bacterial small subunit ribosomal RNA", at positions 331 to 607 of the family's 1533-position model. The record is from RNAcentral.